AUGGUCCAGAUGGCCAAGGUGCAGGACCGCGCCUGGAGGAUCUCCAACGCCGAGCCUGUUAGAAGGUUGGACAGGUCCGUGGGUCUCCUCCUCGCGCUCGAGUCAGCUGUACUCCCCGCCCUGCACACCUUCCCCGACAUGUCCUCUCUGGUCGACGCCCUUCGCCUCUACAUCAACAACCUCUCCGACCACGCGGGGGCCACGGGGGGACAGUUCUCCAUCAGGGCGGAGGACCUCUGCAACCGCCUGAGCGAGUACGUCCGCCGCGCUGACGCGAAGGAGGAGGUGGCGGAGCUGAGGACCGGCGUCGCCCCACUCAUGCAGGCCGUCACCGACCUCCUCAACACCGAGGUCACGAUCUCCCAGGCACGCAAUGUUCAGUGA
RNAcentral lists this ribosomal RNA (384 nucleotides) under Triticum aestivum (bread wheat). RNAcentral's name for it is "partial small subunit ribosomal RNA". Lineage: Eukaryota; Viridiplantae; Streptophyta; Magnoliopsida; Poales; Poaceae. The record is from RNAcentral.